GAUGAACGCUGGCGGCGUGCCUAAUACAUGCAAGUCGAGCGAACAGACGAGGAGCUUGCUCCUCUGACGUUAGCGGCGGACGGGUGAGUAACACGUGGAUAACCUACCUAUAAGACUGGGAUAACUUCGGGAAACCGGAGCUAAUACCGGAUAAUAUAUUGAACCGCAUGGUUCAAUAGUGAAGGACGGUUUUGCUGUCACUUAUAGAUGGAUCCGCGCCGCAUUAGCUAGUUGGUAAGGUAACGGCUUACCAAGGCGACGAUGCGUAGCCGACCUGAGAGGGUGAUCAGCCACACUGGAACUGAGACACGGUCCAGACUCCUACGGGAGGCAGCAGUAGGGAAUCUUCCGCAAUGGGCGAAAGCCUGACGGAGCAACGCCGCGUGAGUGAUGAAGGUCUUCGGAUCGUAAAACUCUGUUAUUAGGGAAGAACAAAUGUGUAAGUAACUAUGCACGUCUUGACGGUACCUAAUCAGAAAGCCACGGCUAACUACGUG
RNAcentral lists this ribosomal RNA (497 nucleotides) under uncultured bacterium. Its description in RNAcentral is "partial 16S ribosomal RNA". It matches the Rfam family "Bacterial small subunit ribosomal RNA", at positions 28 to 507 of the family's 1533-position model. The record is from RNAcentral.